GUCCUCGUAGCUCAGCUGGAUAGAGCGUAGGCUUGCGGAGCCUAAGGCCACAGGUUCGAAUCCUGUCGAGGACA
Molecule: transfer RNA, 74 nt
Filed under: Patescibacteria group bacterium
Lineage: Bacteria
Description: tRNA-Arg
Rfam family: tRNA
About the family: Transfer RNA (tRNA) molecules are approximately 80 nucleotides in length. Their secondary structure includes four short double-helical elements and three loops (D, anti-codon, and T loops).
Source: RNAcentral